Salvia splendens (bonfire salvia) is the source of this 1375-nucleotide long non-coding RNA. RefSeq lists it as uncharacterized. The transcript is spliced from 3 exons. Lineage: Eukaryota; Viridiplantae; Streptophyta; Magnoliopsida; Lamiales; Lamiaceae. The record is from RefSeq and is a predicted model, not a curated record.
CUCUCUCUCUAUUUGAAAAUAUAAGCCCUGAUAUUUGAAAUCUUCAUCCCCUCUCUGCUCUCUCCUUCCUCACCGCAUUCUCUUCUCCCAUGGAGAAUAUCCUCACUGAUUAGCCUUUUCCGAUUAAUUCAGCAACGAUUGAAGAGAUCGACGCAUUGAUGCUUCGCGGCGUAGUUCCAUUGAUAAUCAGCCCUCGCCAAUUCUCGACGUCGCCUUCGUGCCGCCUCGCUGGAGCACAAUCGCCAUCGAAUUCAUACAAUUGGAGCUCAUCAACAGCUGCAGAAUCUUCUCGUCGUCUCCACACACUGUAAUCCAAUCAGAUUACAGUGCCCCUUCCUGAAAGUAAUCAGAAAACUUUGCAAUGCCCCUUCCUAAAAAUCGUCUUCUCUCUGCAGCUCUUAAUUGAGAGAUGGAAAAUCUUGGAUUCGACCUCGAAAUCCAUGGAUCGGCUUGUGGAGAUUGUGAUGAGGAAGGAGUUGCACAGCCUCGUUCUGUUGGAGAAGUGGUUGAUGGGAAUGAGGGGCAAGAUGAGGUCGUAUUUUGGAGCUGGAGAAGAAAUUAUUGGAGCAAGCUGUGUACAGUGAGGAGAAAGCGUAUAUGCUGUACUGUGAUUACGCGACUGCCAUGGAUUUCAAUGUCCGUAGGGGGAAGCAGUACUAUUUUAUGGGAACAAAGAAGGUGUGAUAAAAAAACUCACUGUUGUUCAAAGGAAGGGGUUAACGAUGAUUAAGCAGAUACCAGUAGUGUCUGUUACAAAAAGCCGGAAACGAGAACAGGAUGCAGAGCGAUGGUAUCUUUCGUUUGCGAUGAUAGUGGCCAAUGGAAGGUUUCUAGGUUCCUAAAGGAGCAUAAUCAUGAAAUGGCCCCAGCGUAUGCAAAGCCCUCAGUGAAAUCUGGCCAAGGUAUUUUAGCUGCGAAUGUGUAUGGGAGUGGCGGUGCUCUGGAGUCACUGUAACAUGUUCUUCGUUGAAUGGAGUAAGUCUAUGCCCUGAAGAUCAAGUGGUAAAGCUACUGGAAUUUGCUUGAGAAAUGAGAGACUUUAAGAUGAGAUGUUUUAGUUAUACAUCAAUGUCAUAUUUUACUUCUUUUGAAAGCAUCAGCUAUGGUGGCAGAGUGAAUUGCAAAGUCUGAUGAAACUAAUCCAACUGAAGUAGAAAAAGAAAUAUUCAAUGAACUUGGAGUUAGUGCAAGGAUGGUACAUGGAACCCAAAAUUAUGCAGGGGUGACUAAAGAUGCAAAUAUGGAAUAGCUUAUUUUUUGAAUGAAUUCAACAAAUAUUAAAGAGGCUGAUCGUAGCCAGACUUAGUUGUAGAUUCGUAAAUAUUUACUAUUUUUAGUUGGUUUAUAUCUUAAUAAAUCCCUUUUUUUUCUUUUA